GAUUGAACGCUGGCGGCAGGCCUAACACAUGCAAGUCGAGCGGUAGCACAGAGAGCUUGCUCUCGGGUGACGAGCGGCGGACGGGUGAGUAAUGUCUGGGAAACUGCCUGAUGGAGGGGGAUAACUACUGGAAACGGUAGCUAAUACCGCAUAACGUCGCAAGACCAAAGUGGGGGACCUUCGGGCCUCAUGCCAUCAGAUGUGCCCAGAUGGGAUUAGCUAGUAGGUGGGGUAACGGCUCACCUAGGCGACGAUCCCUAGCUGGUCUGAGAGGAUGACCAGCCACACUGGAACUGAGACACGGUCCAGACUCCUACGGGAGGCAGCAGUGGGGAAUAUUGCACAAUGGGCGCAAGCCUGAUGCAGCCAUGCCGCGUGUGUGAAGAAGGCCUUCGGGUUGUAAAGCACUUUCAGCGGGGAGGAAGGCGGUGAGGUUAAUAACCUCACCGAUUGACGUUACCCGCAGAAGAAGCACCGGCUAACUCCGUGCCAGCAGCCGCGGUAAUACGGAGGGUGCAAGCGUUAAUCGGAAUUACUGGGCGUAAAGCGCACGCAGGCGGUCUGUCAAGUCGGAUGUGAAAUCCCCGGGCUCAACCUGGGAACUGCAUUCGAAACUGGCAGGCUAGAGUCUUGUAGAGGGGGGUAGAAUUCCAGGUGUAGCGGUGAAAUGCGUAGAGAUCUGGAGGAAUACCGGUGGCGAAGGCGGCCCCCUGGACAAAGACUGACGCUCAGGUGCGAAAGCGUGGGGAGCAAACAGGAUUAGAUACCCUGGUAGUCCACGCUGUAAACGAUGUCGAUUUGGAGGUUGUGCCCUUGAGGCGUGGCUUCCGGAGCUAACGCGUUAAAUCGACCGCCUGGGGAGUACGGCCGCAAGGUUAAAACUCAAAUGAAUUGACGGGGGCCCGCACAAGCGGUGGAGCAUGUGGUUUAAUUCGAUGCAACGCGAAGAACCUUACCUGGUCUUGACAUCCACAGAACUUAGCAGAGAUGCUUUGGUGCCUUCGGGAACUGUGAGACAGGUGCUGCGUGGCUGUCGUCAGCUCGUGUUGUGAAAUGUUGGGUUAAGUCCCGCAACGAGCGCAACCCUUAUCCUUUGUUGCCAGCGGUUAGGCCGGGAACUCAAAGGAGACUGCCAGUGAUAAACUGGAGGAAGGUGGGGAUGACGUCAAGUCAUCAUGGCCCUUACGACCAGGGCUACACACGUGCUACAAUGGCAUAUACAAAGAGAAGCGACCUCGCGAGAGCAAGCGGACCUCAUAAAGUAUGUCGUAGUCCGGAUUGGAGUCUGCAACUCGACUCCAUGAAGUCGGAAUCGCUAGUAAUCGUAGAUCAGAAUGCUACGGUGAAUACGUUCCCGGGCCUUGUACACACCGCCCGUCACACCAUGGGAGUGGGUUGCAAAAGAAGUAGGUAGCUUAACCUUCGGGAGGGCGCUUACCACUUUGUGAUUCAUGACUGGGGUGAAGUCGUAACAAGG
Molecule: ribosomal RNA, 1477 nt
Filed under: uncultured bacterium
Lineage: Bacteria
Description: bacterial SSU rRNA
Rfam family: Bacterial small subunit ribosomal RNA
Source: RNAcentral